CCUACGGGAGGCAGCAGUCGAGAAUCAUUCACAAUGGGGGAAACCCUGAUGGUGCGACGCCGCGUGGGGGAAUGAAGGUCUUCGGAUUGUAAACCCCUGUCAUGUGGGAGCAAAUUAAAAAGAUAGUACCGCAAGCGGAAGAGACGGCUAACUCUGUGCCAGCAGCCGCGGUAAUACAGAGGUCGCAAGCGUUGUUCGGAAUCACUGGGCGUAAAGCGUGCGUAGGCUGUUAAGUAAGUCAUGUGUGAAAGGCGGGGGCUCAACCCGCGAACUGCAAAUGAUACUGAGAGACUAGAGUAAUGGAGGGGAAACUGGAAUUCUCGGUGUAGCAGUGAAAUGCGUAGAUAUCGAGAGGAACACUAGUGGCGAAGGCGGGUUUCUGGACAUUAACUGACGCUGAGGCACGAAGGUCAGGGGAGCGAAAGGGAUUAGAUACCCGGGUAGUC
RNAcentral lists this ribosomal RNA (446 nucleotides) under uncultured bacterium. Its description in RNAcentral is "partial 16S ribosomal RNA". It matches the Rfam family "Bacterial small subunit ribosomal RNA", at positions 338 to 795 of the family's 1533-position model. The record is from RNAcentral.